This is a long non-coding RNA of Rhagoletis zephyria (snowberry fruit fly), 232 nucleotides long. RefSeq lists it as uncharacterized. The record is from RefSeq and is a predicted model, not a curated record. NCBI's taxonomy places the organism in Eukaryota, Metazoa, Arthropoda, Insecta, Diptera, Tephritidae.
AUUGUAUAAUUUAAUUUGAUUUGCUGCUGCUAUUGUUGCUGGUGUCAAGUGUGUGGAAGCAAAUUCCAGUACAUAUGUUAACUUACAUUGAUACGAGGCAUUUACGCGUUAAGAUGAAUUAGCCUAUCGAUUGUUAUAUAUGUUUGUAACUUAGCUUGAAAAAUAAUUGGAAAUUUUAAUAUUUAUGCUCUACCAUUAACAGACUUUUAAAUAAACGAAUAUUUGCGUUAUA